CGAACGCUGGCGGCGUGCCUAAUACAUGCAAGUAGAACGCUGAAGGAGGAGCUUGCUUCUCUGGAUGAGUUGCGAACGGGUGAGUAACGCGUAGGUAACCUGCCUGGUAGCGGGGGAUAACUAUUGGAAACGAUAGCUAAUACCGCAUAAGAGUAGAUGUUGCAUGACAUUUGCUUAAAAGGUGCAAUUGCAUCACUACCAGAUGGACCUGCGUUGUAUUAGCUAGUUGGUGGGGUAACGGCUCACCAAGGCGACGAUACAUAGCCGACCUGAGAGGGUGAUCGGCCACACUGGGACUGAGACACGGCCCAGACUCCUACGGGAGGCAGCAGUAGGGAAUCUUCGGCAAUGGACGGAAGUCUGACCGAGCAACGCCGCGUGAGUGAAGAAGGUUUUCGGAUCGUAAAGCUCUGUUGUAAGAGAAGAACGAGUGUGAGAGUGGAAAGUUCACACUGUGACGGUAUCUUACCAGAAAGGGACGGCUAACUACGUG
This 493-nucleotide ribosomal RNA is filed under the name uncultured bacterium. RNAcentral's name for it is "partial 16S ribosomal RNA". It matches the Rfam family "Bacterial small subunit ribosomal RNA", at positions 30 to 507 of the family's 1533-position model. The record is from RNAcentral.